This 468-nucleotide ribosomal RNA is filed under the name uncultured bacterium. Its description in RNAcentral is "partial 16S ribosomal RNA". It matches the Rfam family "Bacterial small subunit ribosomal RNA", at positions 28 to 507 of the family's 1533-position model. The record is from RNAcentral.
GACGAACGCUGGCGGCGUGCUUAACACAUGCAAGUCGAACGGAAAGGCCCUGCUUUUGUGGGGUGCUCGCGUGGCGAACGGGUGAGUAACACGUGAGUAACCUGCCCUUGACUUUGGGAUAACUUCAGGCAACUGGGGCUAAUACCGGAUAGGAGCUCCUGCUGCAUGGUGGGGGUUGGAACGUUUCGGCGGUUGGGGAUGGACUCGCGGCUUAUGAGCUUGUUGGUGGGGGAGUGGCUUACCAAGGCUUUGGCUGGUAGCCGGCCUGAGAGGGUGACCGGCGACAUUGCGCCUGCGGUACGGCCCAGACUCCUACGGGGGGCAGCAGUGGGGAGUAUUGCACAAUGGGCGCAAGCCUGAUGCAGCGGCGCCGCGUGCGUAAUGACGGCCUUCGGGUUGUAAACCGCUUUCGCCUGUGACGAAGCGUUAGUGACGGUAAUGGGUAAAGAAGCACCGGCUAACUACGUG